Molecule: non-coding RNA, 1033 nt
Organism: Nomia melanderi (Alkali bee)
Lineage: Eukaryota; Metazoa; Arthropoda; Insecta; Hymenoptera; Halictidae
Source: RefSeq, a predicted model, not a curated record
GAUGUUCUCAAAAUGUAAAUAAAAACCCGAAAACAAACUUAAAUUGAAAUAUUAUAUUUUACAAGAUUUAUUAACAAACGUGUAUUAUAUUUACGUUUAACUAAGCUCUUAAAUAGAAUUUAUAUUUUGAACACUCUUAUCCAAAUUACUCAUUGGAAUGAUUGUCGUUUUGACUAACCUCUUACACGGAGAUUAUUGAUCUGUAUUUAUACGUUAAAUCGGUUAAAAUAAUUCAAACAAAAUUAUUCAUUUAUAGAAUAAAUUAAUUGGAAAAUUUGUUUUCCCGCAUAACGAGUGACAUAAUACUUUAAAUCCUGAUUAAUAUUCGAAAGUAGUGUUGGUUUCACUAAUUCUCAAUGUAACAAGCGCACAUGUGAACAAUAUAGCGAAGAGUUAAAAAGUUGCAGUGGUGAUAAAUUAUGGAUGCUUGCAAAGACUUAAAAUCGAAAUAUGACAACUGUUUUAAUCUUUGGUUUUCUGAUAAAUUUUUACGUGGUAUUUACGAUGAUAGCGAGUGUGCAGCAUUGCUUAAAGUUUAUACCGAAUGUAUUGCUCAAGCUAUGAAGGAUCAAAAUAUAAACCUGGACGACGUUGAUGUAACGCCCUUGAAAAGAGAGAAAGAAACACCAAAAGAAAGUUGAUAAUUACAGUUCCAAUUAAAUUUUCUUUCCAUAUUCUUUGUUAGAAAGGGUUUUCUUCAGAUGGAUCACCACAUCUGAAAUUAAAAAAUUUCAACAAAUAAAUAUUACAUCCCUGAGGGAUGCACUGAUAUAUCUACUUUAAUAAAGAGAGAUGCAAGUUGAAAAUGCAAUUUUGAAAGUGCUUCAAGGAUUGCUGUUACUACGGCAGGACCUCCAUGAACAUGGAAUUCUACAGAAUUCUCUCCAGUAAAAGAAUUAGGUUCUGAAAUUUAUCAUUACUUAGUAAAUAUCUUUUUAAAAUGUAAUUUUCUAAUAUAAUUAUAAUUAUUAUUUUCCAGUAAUUGUAACUUUAAUGAAUGUAAAAAUUAAUAAAAUAUAUAGGCAUUUUUUCA